GGUCAUGUGGUGCAAUGGCAGCAUGCUUGACUCAGAACCAAGAGGUCCCAGGUUCAAGUCCUGACAUGCCA
This is a non-coding RNA of Branchiostoma belcheri (Belcher's lancelet), 71 nucleotides long. The record is from the annotation of a RefSeq genome assembly. Lineage: Eukaryota; Metazoa; Chordata; Leptocardii; Amphioxiformes; Branchiostomatidae.